GAGAUUACCCGCUGAACUUAAGCAUAUCAAUAAGCGGAGGAAAAGAAACCAACAGGGAUUGCCUCAGUAACGGCGAGUGAAGCGGCAAAAGCUCAAA
This 97-nucleotide ribosomal RNA is filed under the name Xanthomonas citri pv. citri. RNAcentral describes it as "partial 23S ribosomal RNA". It matches the Rfam family "Eukaryotic large subunit ribosomal RNA", at positions 17 to 113 of the family's 3401-position model. The record is from RNAcentral. Lineage: Bacteria; Pseudomonadati; Pseudomonadota; Gammaproteobacteria; Lysobacterales; Lysobacteraceae.